GCGGGCGUAGUUCAAUGGUAGAACAUCAGCUUCCCAAGCUGAUAGUGCGAGUUCGAUUCUCGUCGCCCGCU
Molecule: transfer RNA, 71 nt
Filed under: Geodermatophilaceae bacterium
Lineage: Bacteria; Bacillati; Actinomycetota; Actinomycetes; Geodermatophilales; Geodermatophilaceae
Description: tRNA-Gly
Rfam family: tRNA
About the family: Transfer RNA (tRNA) molecules are approximately 80 nucleotides in length. Their secondary structure includes four short double-helical elements and three loops (D, anti-codon, and T loops).
Source: RNAcentral